AUGAACUCCAACUACACUAGAGCAAAAAUGGCCUUUCUCUCACUUCUCAUUGCUCUUCUCUCUCUAGGGUUCACACAAUCCCCUGCUCAAACAGUGGAAAUCAAUGUGGUUCUUGCAGGAAUUGUCACUUGCACAAAUACUUCUAUAGCCAACGCAAGAACUUAUGCAGUAAUCCCACAAGCAAAAGUUGAAUUUGUUUGUGGGAUUUGGAUUUUAGAAAGAGUGAUCAAAUCAACCACAACAAGCAAUGCAGGAAUCUACACCUUUGCCUUCGGCCCCAAAGAUAUAUUGCUCAACAACCC
Molecule: long non-coding RNA, 302 nt
Filed under: Salvia miltiorrhiza (redroot sage)
Lineage: Eukaryota; Viridiplantae; Streptophyta; Magnoliopsida; Lamiales; Lamiaceae
Description: long non-coding RNA (SMIL_LNC002117)
Source: RNAcentral